CGGUACCCUAACCGUGCGAAGGUAGCAUAAUCACUUGUUCUUUAAAUGAGGACUCGUAUCAACGGCAUCACGAGGAUCCUACUGUCUCCCCCCUCUAAUCGGUGAAACUGAUCUCUCCGUGAAGAAGCGGAGAUGUACAUAUAAGACGAGAAGACCCCAUGGAGCUUUAAACCCAACAACACCCGCCCCCCUCCAAAUCCUAUUAUUUACCCGGUGAUUGUUUGUUUGGUUUUAGGUUGGGGUGACCGCGGAGUAUAAGAUAUCCUCCAUGAAAAAAGCUAACUGCCCUUAUUAGAGAAAGACACUUCCAAAAAAUAAUAAAUUAAUUUUAAAUGAUCCGACAUUCGAUCAACGAACCAAGUUACCCUGGGGAUAACAGCGCAAUCCGUCCCGAGAGCCCCUAUCGACAGGCGGGUUUACGACCUCGAUGUUGGAUCAGGGUAUCCCAGUGGUGCAGCAGCUACUAAAGGUUCGUUUGUUCAACGAUUAAAACCCUACGUGA
This 502-nucleotide ribosomal RNA is filed under the name Boophis madagascariensis (Madagascar bright-eyed frog). RNAcentral's name for it is "partial 16S ribosomal RNA". It matches the Rfam family "Bacterial large subunit ribosomal RNA", at positions 1934 to 2603 of the family's 2925-position model. Lineage: Eukaryota; Metazoa; Chordata; Amphibia; Anura; Mantellidae. The record is from RNAcentral.